AUGAACGCUGGCGGCGUGCCUAAUACAUGCAAGUCGAGCGAACGGACGAGAAGCUUGCUUCCCUGAUGUUCGCGGCGGACGGGUGAGUAACACGUGGAUAACCUACCUAUAAGACUGGGAUAACUUCGGGAAACCGGAGCUAAUACCGGAUGAUAUUUUGAACCGCAUGGUUCAAAAGUGAAAGACGGUCUUGCUGUCACUUAUAGAUGGAUCCGCGCUGCAUUAGCUAGUUGGUAAGGUACGGCUUACCAAGGCAACGAUGCAUAGCCGACCUGAGAGGGUGAUCGGCCACACCGGAACUGAGACACGGUCCAGACUCCUACGGGAGGCAGCAGUAGGGAAUCUUCCGCAAUGGGCGAAAGCCUGACGGAGCAACGCCGCGUGAGUGAUGAAGGUCUUCGGAUCGUAAAACUCUGUUAUUAGGGAAGAACAUAUGUGUAAGUAACUGUGCACAUCUUGACGGUACCUAAUCAGAAAGCCACGGCUAACUACGUG
RNAcentral lists this ribosomal RNA (495 nucleotides) under uncultured bacterium. Its description in RNAcentral is "partial 16S ribosomal RNA". It matches the Rfam family "Bacterial small subunit ribosomal RNA", at positions 29 to 507 of the family's 1533-position model. The record is from RNAcentral.